Molecule: ribosomal RNA, 505 nt
Filed under: uncultured bacterium
Lineage: Bacteria
Description: partial 16S ribosomal RNA
Rfam family: Bacterial small subunit ribosomal RNA
Source: RNAcentral
GACGAACGCUGGCGGCGUGCCUAAUACAUGCAAGUAGAACGCACAGUUUAUACCGUAGCUUGCUACACCAUAGACUGUGAGUUGCGAACGGGUGAGUAACGCGUAGGUAACCUGCCUGGUAGCGGGGGAUAACUAUUGGAAACGAUAGCUAAUACCGCAUAAUAUUGAUUAUUGCAUGAUAAUUGAUUGAAAGAUGCUAUUGCAUCACUACCAGAUGGACCUGCGUUGUAUUAGCUAGUAGGUGAGGUAACGGCUCACCUAGGCGACGAUACAUAGCCGACCUGAGAGGGUGAUCGGCCACACUGGGACUGAGACACGGCCCAGACGCCUACGGGAGGCAGCAGGAGGGAAUCUUCGGCAAUGGACGAAAGUCUGACCGAGCAACGCCGCGGGAGGGAAGAAGGGUUUCGGAUCGUAAAGCUCGGUUGUAAGGGAAGAACGGGUGCGAGAGUGGAAAGUUCACACUGUGACGGUAUCUUACCAGAAAGGGACGGCUAACUACGUG